This is an RNA transcript of Magnolia sinica, 1212 nucleotides long. RefSeq lists it as uncharacterized. The transcript has 3 exons. NCBI's taxonomy places the organism in Eukaryota, Viridiplantae, Streptophyta, Magnoliopsida, Magnoliales, Magnoliaceae. The record is from RefSeq and is a predicted model, not a curated record.
CUUUCUCAUCUCUCCCUCUCAUCUCCUGCGCUUCUCCCAUCUUUGAUUUGGAACUUUCCAUCUCCCAUCUCCAAAUCUCAUUCUCUCUCUUAUUUCUCUUCCUUUCUUCUCAUUCUCAGGGUUCUUAGAUCAAAUCUACAGCUACAGAUCGAGUAGGCCCGGUAACCUAUGGACGUGGUCAUCAACGGUGAAGAGAAAAGAAGAAAUCUGAGAAGGCACUUGAAGCUCAUGUAGAUUUUGUUCAAAUCCGGCCCUAUGACUAACUCAUUUAUUUUGUGCUGUUAUCAUCUUGGAUUGCUGCUAUUAAGGCAAUGCAUGAUGUUAUUUAUCUUCGCCAUCAUCUAGAGAAGGCAAGUUCAGUCCCUUCACCUUUUGGUCCAUUGUAUGAACUCAUUGUAAUAGAUAUUUGGUUCCUAGAGAGUCAAGAUUUCAGAAACUGUGGAAGCCCCGCUCUAUAUUAGGUAAUUGUGCCCUGUUUCAAUGGAAAAAAUGCAACCAAUUCAGAAACUGUGGAAGCCCCACUCUAUAUUAGGUGGAAAGCAGAAAGUCCAUCAAACUGGCUUCAAAUGACAAGUGAGCUCAUCUAUCAAAACAGAAAUGAGCAUGUUGCAAUCACUUAAUAAUGUCUCCCUUGCAGGUUCCAUUCUUGUUUCGACUUUGGCAUCACCAUUUACAUUAGCCGUGCAUUUGCUAAAUUUGCCAAAGCUUUAUUAUCUUUUUGCAGGUUGGUUCUUUAGAUCCUGGCAAACUCAUAAAAAUACUCAAAUCAUCAAUACCCAGUCUUGUGCUAUUUCAGUUCUUAGAAAGACAUUGAAAACUAAGAUAACUCUGAAAUGGGCAUUAGUACUGGUUAAGUGACUCAAACCCAAGACUGGUGAAUGCAAUUGCAAUAGCUUGGCUAUUGUGUUCAGUGAAUUGGUUUUCUCUUUAGGUAGACUUUUGCACUAAUAACUUCAUAUAUGUUUUUUUGUAUCCUUAUCAGAUUUUACAAGUUUUAAAGAACUGUCUAACUUUUAAGUGGGAGCAGAAAAUCAGUUGAGUUUGUUGUCCUGAUGUACUUUAAAGAGAAAAAGAAAAAAAAAAGAAAAAGAAAAGGUUGGACUGUCAAAAAGAAAUGGGUCAUCUGAUGUGUAUCGUAAUCUGCCUGUAGUACCGGAUUUAUGUCGAUCUUUAUUGAAUAAUAAUAAUAAUAAUAAUCUAUUUUUCCAUCAU